UACGUAGGGGGCAAGCGUUGUUCGGAUUCAUUGGGCGUAAAGGGUGCGUAGGUGGCGCUGUAAGUCGGGUGUGAAAUUUCGGAGCUUAACUCCGAAACUGCAUUCGAUACUGCGGUGCUUGAGGACUGGAGAGGAGACUGGAAUUCAUGGUGUAGCAGUGAAAUGCGUAGAGAUCAUGAGGAAGACCAGUGGCGAAGGCGGGUCUCUGGACAGUUCCUGACACUGAGGCACGAAGGCCAGGGGAGCAAACGGG
RNAcentral lists this ribosomal RNA (253 nucleotides) under uncultured bacterium. RNAcentral's name for it is "partial 16S ribosomal RNA". It matches the Rfam family "Bacterial small subunit ribosomal RNA", at positions 524 to 776 of the family's 1533-position model. The record is from RNAcentral.